AAAGAGCCCGCUCCGCCGAGCGCCGGGCGACGGCAGGAAGCCCCUCCGCUUGGCCAGAAUGGAGCAGCCGAAGGGAGUUGAUUGGACAGUCAUCAUCCUGACCUGCCAAUACAAGGACAGUGUCCAGGUCUUUCAGAGAGAACUGGAAGUGCGGCAGAAGCGGGAGCAGAUCCCUGCUGGGACGCUGUUACUGGCUGUGGAGGACCCAGAGAAGCGUGUGGGCAGCGGAGGAGCCACCCUCAACGCCCUGCUGGUGGCUGCUGAACACCUGAGUGCCCGGGCAGGCUUCACUGUGGUCACAUCCGAUGUCCUGCACUCGGCCUGGAUCCUCAUUCUGCACAUGGGUCGAGACUUCCCCUUUGAUGACUGUGGCAGGGCCUUCACCUGCCUCCCCAUGGAGAACCCCGAGGGCCCCGUGGAAGCCUUGGUCUGCAACCUGGACUGCCUGCUGGACAUCAUGACCUAUCGGCUAGGCCCGGGCUCCCCGCCAGGCGUGUGGGUCUGCAGCACCGACAUGCUGCUGUCUGUUCCUGCAAAUCCUGGUGAGCCUGAGACUACCUGGGACCGCCUUCCCUCGUCACAGCCACAGCAAGAAGCCAGCUCUGCCCUUCUUGCCCACCCUGCCUCUGGGCCUGCCCUGCUGCCCUAUUAGACGGGAAGCUGGAGGGUGUGGAGAAUGAAGCCUGGUGGAGGCAGGGCUUCUCCUGCUGUGCCUCAGUCUGUCUGUCUAUAGGAUGGACAGAAUCAGCCCUGCCCCUUCUGUCCCACAGGGCUCUGCGGAAGAACUUUGGGAGAGGAGGGUUGUCAUUCUCCCAGGCGAAUGUCCAUUUGGCUUGGAAACCGUAUUUCCCUUUUAGAGGUGCCCAGGUGCCGCAGCCCUGGGCUCUUGCUUCCUCCUGGUGGGGAAAUCCGUGCCUUGGGUGGAGGCCCCUGGGAGCCUCCUGACUGCCCCACCCCACAGGGAUCAGCUGGGACAGCUUCCGGGGAGCCAGAGUGAUCGCCCUCCCAGGGAGCCCGGCCUACGCUCAGAAUCAUGGCGUCUACCUAACUGACCCCCAGGGCCUUGUUUUGGACAUUUACUACCAGGGCACUGAGGCAGAGAUUCAGCGGUGUGUCAGGCCUGAUGGGCGGGUGCCACUGGUCUCUGGGGUUGUCUUCUUCUCUGUGGAGACUGCCGAGUGCCUCCUAGCCACCCACGUGAGCCCGCCCCUGGAUGCCUGCACCUACCUAGGCUUGGACUCCGGAGCCCGGCCUGUCCAGCCUAUGUCUCCAGCGGCAGCUACAGCUACAUGACCUCCUCAGCCAGUGAGUUCCUGCUCAGCCUCACACUCCCCGGGGCUCCUGGGGCCCAGAUUGUGCACUCCCAGGUGGAGGAGCAGCAGCUCCUGGCGGCCGGGAGCUCUGUGGUCAGCUGCCUGCUGGAGGGCCCUGUCCGGCUGGGUCCUGGGAGCGUCCUGCAGCACUGCCACCUGCGGGGCCCCAUUCACAUAGGUGCUGGCUGCUUGGUGACUGGUCUGGAUGCAGCCCACUCCAAGGCCCUGCAUGGCCGGGAGCUGCGUGACCUUGUCCUGCAGGGACACCACACGCGGCUACACGGCUCCCUGGGCCAUGCCUUCACCCUCGUUGGCCGUCUGGACAGCUGGGAGAGACAGGGGGCAGGCACAUAUCUCAACGUGCCCUGGAGUGAAUUCUUCAAGAGGACAGGUGUUCGAGCCUGGGACCUGUGGGACCCCGACACGCUGCCCGCAGAGUACUGCCUUCCCAGCGCCCGCCUCUUUCCUGUGCUCCACCCCUCGAGGGAGCUGGGACCCCAGGACCUGCUGUGGAUGCUGGACCACCAGGAGGAUGGGGGCGAGGCCCUGCGAGCCUGGCGAGCCUCCUGGCGCCUGUCCUGGGAGCAGCUGCAGCCGUGCCUGGAUCGGGCUGCCACGCUGGCCUCUCGCCGGGACCUGUUCUUCCGCCAGGCCCUGCAUAAGGCGCGGCACGUGCUGGAGGCCCAGCAGGACCUCAGCCUGCGCCCGCUGAUCUGGGCUGCUGUCCGCGAGGGCUGCCCCGGGCCCCUGCUGGCCACGCUGGACCAGGUUGCAGCUGGGGCAGGAGACCCUGGCGUGGCAGCACGGGCACUGGCCUGUGUGGCGGAUGUCCUGGGCUGCAUGGCAGAGGGCCGUGGGGGCUUGCGGAGCGGGCCAGCUGCCAACCCUGAGUGGAUGCGGCCCUUCUCAUACCUGGAGUGUGGAGACCUGGCAGCGGGCGUGGAGGCACUUGCCCAGGAGAGGGACAAGUGGCUAAGCAGAGCAGGUGGAACUGCCGGGACCUGGGCAGUGGGUGGUGGCUGAGUGCCCGGCCCGUGUGGAUUUCUCUGGGGGCUGGAGUGACACGCCACCCCUUGCCUAUGAGCUUGGCGGGGCUGUGCUGGGCCUGGCUGUGCGAGUGGACGGCCGCCGGCCCAUCGGAGCCAGGGCACGCCGCAUCCCGGAGCCUGAGCUGUGGCUGGCGGUGGGGCCUCGGCAGGAUGAGAUGACUGUGAAGAUAGUGUGCCGGUGCCUGGCUGACCUGCGGGACUACUGCCAGCCUCAUGCCCCAGGGGCCCUGCUGAAGGCGGCCUUCAUCUGUGCAGGGAUUGUGCAUGUCCACUCGGAACUCCAGCUGAGUGAGCAGCUGCUCCGCACCUUUGGGGGCGGCUUUGAGCUGCACACCUGGUCUGAGCUGCCCCACGGCUCUGGCCUGGGCACCAGCAGCAUCCUGGCAGGCACUGCCCUGGCUGCCUUGCAGCGAGCCGCAGGCCGGGUGGUGGGCACGGAAGCCCUGAUCCACGCAGUGCUGCACCUGGAGCAGGUGCUCACCACUGGAGGUGGCUGGCAGGACCAAGUAGGUGGCCUAAUGCCUGGCAUCAAGGUGGGGCGCUCCCGGGCUCAGCUGCCACUGAAGGUGGAGGUAGAAGAGGUCACGGUGCCUGAGGGCUUUGUCCAGAAGCUCAAUGACCACCUGCUCUUGGUGUACACUGGCAAGACCCGCCUGGCUCGGAACCUGCUGCAGGAUGUGCUGAGGAGCUGGUAUGCCCGACUUCCUGCUGUGGUGCAGAAUGCCCACAGCCUGGUGCGGCAAACUGAGGAGUGUGCUGAAGGCUUCCGCCAAGGGUCUCACAUUUAGGGGAAAGCUACAUCUGAGGACAAAAUUUUCAUGAUGGGAAAGGCCCUCCAGCCCUAACAGGAAGCAGAGAGGGGAAGGGACUCAACCCAUGGCUGAGUUCCAAGGAAGUCUGAGCUGGGCAGGGUCCCCAGUGUGUGGCGUCACAGCUCCCUAGGUGCCGACUAUGCUGGGUGUGGUGUUGGUUGCUUCCUGCACAUUGGUCCUCAGGCAGUCCUGGGAAGUGGGUUACUCCCGGCUCCAGCCGGCACUAGAAUCUGGCUUCUUUACCAUUACACUGGCUCAGCAGCACGUCUUGGCACUUCAUGCAAUCUCCAGAUGGGUGCUGAGUAUCUUGGCCCAGGCACGUCACUCCCCUCUGCCCCACCUCAGGAAGCCUGCCUCUGCUGGGCCAGUGCCUGACCUCAUACUGGGAGCAGAAGAAGCUCAUGGCUCCAGGCUGUGAGCCCCUGACUGUGCGGCGUAUGAUGGAUGUCCUGGCCCCCCACGUGCAUGGCCAGAGCCUGGCUGGGGCAGGCGGUGGAGGCUUUCUCUAUCUGUUGACCAAGGAGCCACAGCAAAAGGAGGCCUUGGAGGCGGUGCUGGCCAAGACCGAGGGCCUUGGGAAUUACAGCAUCCACCUGGUUGAAGUGGACACUCAGGGCCUGAGCCUGAAGCUGCUGGGGACCGAGGCCUCAACCUGUUGCCCUUUCCCAUGAAGCUGGCUUCUCUCUGCAACAGGAGAAAACCUGGAGCUACAGUGUCCCCCACCUUCCUUGCCCCAUGGGAACCUCCACCUCCUACUCCCCACCCACCUCUGCGAAUCUGCUCCCAAAGGGAGCUGACCAGAGCAAGAUCUGGGCAAGCAGAGAGUGCCUGGGACAGGACUGUGACCUGGUGGACAGUGGCCUAGGUGUAGCCUCUGUUCCUCCUGGACAUAGGAAGAUCCCAAGCUUAGUAUCCCACGUGGCCUUUACAAAUCCUAUGGCUGGCCUUCUCAUUCCACAAGGGCCCUGGAAAGGGUUGACAGCCAGCCUUGGCAUAUGGCUGGGAGUCCCUUAGCAAGGCCAACCCUGAAGAGGCCCUUCGAGACAUUCCCUAUGGCUUAGAGUUGUAGACUUACACUCAACCCUCAUGUGAGUGUGGGAGUGAGGGUGGCGGUCCCUUGCCAAGUUGGUAGCAGUGACCCAGUGAUUCACUGCCAUCCCAGGCCUUAACUAGCAAAACUACGGAGCGUGCCAAGUGACCUGGUGCCUGUGGGAAGUGGGUUCUCAGGACUGGCAUUCUUGGAAUAAAUUCACUCUGUCCUUGCA
RNAcentral lists this small RNA (4439 nucleotides) under Pan troglodytes (chimpanzee). RNAcentral's name for it is "retained intron". The record is from RNAcentral. Lineage: Eukaryota; Metazoa; Chordata; Mammalia; Primates; Hominidae.